Molecule: ribosomal RNA, 1408 nt
Filed under: bacterium NLAE-zl-C484
Lineage: Bacteria
Description: bacterial SSU rRNA
Rfam family: Bacterial small subunit ribosomal RNA
Source: RNAcentral
UGCAGUCGAGGGGCAGCAUUUCAGUUUGCUUGCAAACUGGAGAUGGCGACCGGCGCNCGGGUGAGUAACACGCUAUCCAACCUGCCGAUAACUCGGGGAUAGCCUUUCGAAAGAAAGAUUAAUACCCGAUGGUAUAAUCAGACCGCAUGGUCUUNUUAUUAAAGAAUUUCGGUUAUCGAUGGGGAUGCGUUCCAUUAGGCAGUUGGUGAGGUAACGGCUCACCAAACCUUCGAUGGAUAGGGGUUCUGAGAGGAAGGUCCCCCACAUUGGAACUGAGACACGGUCCAAACUCAUACGGGAGGCAGCAGUGAGGAAUAUUGGUCAAUGGGCGCAGGCCUGAACCAGCCAAGUAGCGUGAAGGAUGACUGCCCUAUGGGUUGUAAACUUCUUUUAUAUGGGAAUAAAGUUUUCCACGUGUGGAAUUUUGUAUGUACCAUAUGAAUAAGGAUCGGCUAACUCCGUGCCAGCAGCCCGCGGUAAUACGGAGGAUCCGAGCGUUAUCCGGAUUUUAUUGGGUUUUAAAGGGAGCGUAGGUGGACAGUUAAGUCAGUUGUGAAAGUUUGCGGCUCAACCGUAAAAUUGCAGUUGAUACUGGCUGUCUUGAGUACAGUAGAGGUGGGCGGAAUUCGUGGUGUAGCGGUGAAAUGCUUAGAUAUCACGAAGAACUCCGAUUGCGAAGGCAGCUCACUGGACUGCAACUGACACUGAUGCUCGAAAGUGUGGGUAUCAAACAGGAUUAGAUACCCUGGUAGUCCACACAGUAAACGAUGAAUACUCGCUGUUUGCGAUAUACAGUAAGCGGCCAAGCGAAAGCAUUAAGUAUUCCACCUGGGGAGUACGCCGGCAACGGUGAAACUCAAAGGAAUUGACGGGGGCCCGCACAAGCGGAGGAACAUGUGGUUUAAUUCGAUGAUACGCGAGGAACCUUACCCGGGCUUAAAUUGCAUUUGAAUAAUUUGGAAACAGGUUAGCCGUAAGGCAAAUGUUGAAGGUGCUGCAUGGUUGUCGUCAGCUCGUGCCGUGAGGGGUCGGCUUAAGUGCCAUAACGAGCGCAACCCUUAUCUUUAGUUACUAACAGGUCAUGCUGAGGACUCUAGAGAGACUGCCGUCGUAAGAUGUGAGGAAGGUGGGGAUGACGUCAAAUCAGCACGGCCCUUACGUCCGGGGCUACACACGUGUUACAAUGGGGGGUACAGAAGGCAGCUACCUGGUGACAGGAUGCUAAUCCCAAAAGCCUCUCUCAGUUCGGAUCGAAGUCUGCAACCCGACUUCGUGAAGCUGGAUUCGCUAGUAAUCGCGCAUCAGCCAUGGCGCGGUGAAUACGUUCCCGGGCCUUGUACACAACGCCCGUCAAGCCAUGAAAGCCGGGGGUACCUGAAGUACGAACCGCAAGGAGCUCCUAGGAAAC